RNAcentral lists this transfer RNA (66 nucleotides) under Chamaeleo zeylanicus (Indian chameleon). Its description in RNAcentral is "tRNA-Ile". Lineage: Eukaryota; Metazoa; Chordata; Lepidosauria; Squamata; Chamaeleonidae. The record is from RNAcentral.
GGAAGUGUGCCCGAGAACAGGGACUACUUUGAUAGAGUAAAUACAGAGAACCAACCUCUCUCUUCC